Molecule: transfer RNA, 81 nt
Filed under: Erinaceus europaeus (western European hedgehog)
Lineage: Eukaryota; Metazoa; Chordata; Mammalia; Eulipotyphla; Erinaceidae
Rfam family: tRNA
About the family: Transfer RNA (tRNA) molecules are approximately 80 nucleotides in length. Their secondary structure includes four short double-helical elements and three loops (D, anti-codon, and T loops).
Source: Rfam by way of RNAcentral
GGAGAAAUAGCUCAACUGGCAGAGCUCAGGCCUCACAUGCCUGAGACUGACUAACACACACACUCUCUCUCUCUUUCUCUC